Molecule: ribosomal RNA, 275 nt
Filed under: uncultured Neochlamydia sp.
Lineage: Bacteria; Pseudomonadati; Chlamydiota; Chlamydiia; Parachlamydiales; Parachlamydiaceae
Description: partial 16S ribosomal RNA
Rfam family: Bacterial small subunit ribosomal RNA
Source: RNAcentral
CCUACGGGUGGCUGCAGUCGAGAAUCUUUCGCAAUGGGCGCAAGCCUGACGAAGCGACGCCGUGUGAGCGAAGAAGGCCUUCGGGUCGUAAAGCUCUUUCGCUUGGGAACAAGAGAGGGGUAUGAAUACUAUCCCAAUUUGAGGGUACUAGGUAAAGAAGCACCGGCUAACUCCGUGCCAGCAGCUGCGGUAAUACGGAGGGUGCAAGCAUUGAUCGGAAUUAUUGGGCGUAAAGGGCGCGUAGGCGGCUGUGUAAGUCAAAUGUGAAAUUCCGC